GCCGGGAUGGCGGAAUGGUAGACGCAGUGGACUCAAAAUCCACCGGCCGUGAGGUCGUGAGAGUUCGAGUCUCUCUCCCGGCACCA
RNAcentral lists this transfer RNA (86 nucleotides) under Gammaproteobacteria bacterium. RNAcentral's name for it is "tRNA-Leu". It matches the Rfam family "tRNA". From Rfam's summary of the family: Transfer RNA (tRNA) molecules are approximately 80 nucleotides in length. Their secondary structure includes four short double-helical elements and three loops (D, anti-codon, and T loops). Lineage: Bacteria; Pseudomonadati; Pseudomonadota; Gammaproteobacteria. The record is from RNAcentral.